This 403-nucleotide ribosomal RNA is filed under the name uncultured bacterium. Its description in RNAcentral is "partial 16S ribosomal RNA". It matches the Rfam family "Bacterial small subunit ribosomal RNA", at positions 30 to 526 of the family's 1533-position model. The record is from RNAcentral.
AUUGAACGCUGGCGGCAGGCCUAACACAUGCAAGUCGAGCGAGCGGCGGACGGGUGAGUAAUGUAUGGGGACUGCCCGAUAGAGGGGGAUAACUACUGGAAACGGUAGCUAAUACCGCAUACUAUCGGAUAACCCAUAUGGGAUUAACUAGUAGGUGAGGUAAUGGCUCACCUAGGCGACGAUCCCUAGCUCGUCUGAGAGGAUGAUCAGCCAUAACAGGACUAAGGCACGGCCCAGACUCCUAAGGAGGCAGCAGUGGGGCACAUUCAGCAUUGGGAGCAAGCCUGACGCAGCCAUGCCGCGUGUAUGAAUAAGGCCCCAGGGUUUUAAUGUACGUUCAGUCGGGAGGCUUUAUCGACAUAAGAAGCACCGGCUAACUCCGUGCCAGCAGCCGCGGUAAUAC